GAUGAACGCUGGCGGCGUGCCUAAUACAUGCAAGUCGAGCGAACAGACGAGGAGCUUGCUCCUCUGACGUUAGCGGCGGACGGGUGAGUAACACGUGGAUAUCCUACCUAUAAGACUGGGAUAACUUCGGGAAACCGGAGCUAAUACCGGAUAAUAUAUUGAACCGCAUGGUUCAAUAGUGAAAGACGGUUUUGCUGUCACUUAUAGAUGGAUCCGCGCCGCAUUAGCUAGUUGAUAAGGUAACGGCUUACCAAGGCAACGAUGCGUAGCCGACCUGAGAGGGUGAUCGGCCACACUGGAACUGAGACACGGUCCAGACUCCUACGGGAGGCAGCAGUAGGGAAUCUUCCGCAAUGGGCGAAAGCCUGACGGAGCAACGCCGCGUGAGUGAUGAAGGUCUUCGGAUCGUAAAACUCUGUUAUUAGGGAAGAACAAAUGUGUAAGUAACUAUGCACGUCUUGACGGUACCUAAUCAGAAAGCCACGGCUAACUACGUG
This 497-nucleotide ribosomal RNA is filed under the name uncultured bacterium. RNAcentral's name for it is "partial 16S ribosomal RNA". It matches the Rfam family "Bacterial small subunit ribosomal RNA", at positions 28 to 507 of the family's 1533-position model. The record is from RNAcentral.